GAUGAAGAACGCAGCGAAAUGCGAUACUUGGUGUGAAUUGCAGAAUCCCGUGAACCAUCGAGUCUUUGAACGCAAGUUGCGCCCGAAGCCAUUAGGCCGAGGGCACGCCUGCCUGGGCGUCACACGUCGUUGCCCCCCCAUCUACUCCUUCGGGAUUGCGGGGGGCGGAUGAUGGCCUCCCGUGCGCCUCGUCGCGCGGUUGGCAUAAAUGCCAAGUCCUCGGCGACGCACGCCGCGACAAUCGGUGGUUGCGAAACCUCGGUUGCCCGUCGUGUGCGGUCGUCGCGCAUCGAGGGCUCGAAAAAAUUGCCGGGCUCCGGCUCGGCUUUCAACGCGACCCCAGGUCAGGCGGGGUUACCCGCUGAAUUUAAGCAUAUCAAUAAGCGGAGGA
Molecule: unclassified non-coding RNA, 391 nt
Filed under: soil metagenome
Description: partial contains 5.8S ribosomal RNA, internal transcribed spacer 2, and large subunit ribosomal RNA
Rfam family: 5.8S ribosomal RNA (bases 1-122)
Source: RNAcentral